UGCACAAAAGUACUGUUUUAAAAGUUUAAAUUAUCUGGAGUCCAAGAACGGAUUAAUCCAUUUUACAUUAAUUCUUAUGGGGAAAAUAGUUUCAGUUUACGAACAUUUCAAUUUAUAAACGAUCAUCAGGACGAAUUAAUUUCUUGACCUAGAUUUGAACCAGGAUCCUCCAGGAAGGUAAGCCUCAGCUUUAUCAUUCGGCCGACUAAUUUGCUAAGAGAAAAUCUAGUAUGCUAAUGCAAUAUUCCAAUAAAUGCUACACGGAUUUCAUCGACGUGACAUUUAUGAAAUGUGGAAGACUAUGUAAAAAAUGAAUGACGUUUUUACUUCAUAUACAAUUUCUAAUAUUCGACUUAAAACAAUUCAUAUUCUUUCAUAUUUUGUUCAUCCUACUGUUUCUGCGUUUCCCACUAACAACUUUUUCUUAAAUUCCGUUACAGACAACAUAUUUUCAUCCUGCAUAUCAGCCAUGCACAGAUCGCCUUCCUCUGUCGAUUUGUUGGAGGCGGGCCUCACCACCUGUUACUUUAACAAGUCACGCAAUCGAAGAAAUAUUAUUUGUACUUUUGAACAAUGAAUUUUCAGAUAACUGUUUUGAUUUGAAAUCAUUUUUACGAUGGUUUGAUGAUAAUGUUUUUAAACAAUGAGGAGAAAACGAUAAUCGUAUUUUUGUAAUAAUAAACAUGUUUUUAUUUUACUGUCUUUAUGUGCGCUACAUAGGUAUUUAAAAAAAUGUACUCGCUCAGAAGGUAACGCUGCGCAUAAAUAAUGACAAUUUACAACUAAUUUUGCCUUUUGCUACUACGAAUAUCGAACCUAAUAAGAAAAAAUUGUUAGAUGAAUGCUGUGCCACGCAUCCCGUUAAAAAUUUUUUUUUGCUUUACGUUUCUUUGAAAUAUAUGUAAUUUAUAAACAGGAUAUGAUAUAAAAUUUUCAUGGUUUUUUGCUGGCCCUCCUAUAAAUCACGGUGAAUCAACGCGGCUCUUGGCCUUAACAAGUCUGUUCAUCCCUGUUCUACAGAAAAUCAUUUAAAAUUCCUUCAUCUGCAUUGUAGAGUGGAACAUACGGAAGGAAAUUAAGAGAUUAGUUUUAUCAGAAUUUAAUUAAUGAAUAAAUAUUUUAUUUCAAUCAUAAAAUCGUGUAUUUGAAG
RNAcentral lists this long non-coding RNA (1150 nucleotides) under Androctonus crassicauda. Lineage: Eukaryota; Metazoa; Arthropoda; Arachnida; Scorpiones; Buthidae. The record is from RNAcentral.